GAGGAGGUGGCUGAGCGGUCAAAAGCGGCAGACUGUAAAUCUGUUGUAUAUAUACUACGUAGGUUCAAAUCCUACCCUCCUCA
This is a non-coding RNA of Naegleria fowleri, 83 nucleotides long. The record is from the annotation of a RefSeq genome assembly. NCBI's taxonomy places the organism in Eukaryota, Heterolobosea, Eutetramitea, Acrasida, Naegleriidae.